This 247-nucleotide long non-coding RNA is filed under the name Elaeis guineensis (African oil palm). RNAcentral describes it as "long non-coding RNA (EGUI_LNC029051)". Lineage: Eukaryota; Viridiplantae; Streptophyta; Magnoliopsida; Arecales; Arecaceae. The record is from RNAcentral.
GGCUGCUAGAUAGAUUUGGCUGCAAGGAUGAGCUAAAUGAAGGAGAAAGUAACUACCAAUUCAAAGAAAGGCCAUGGCUUCUCCAGACCAUGCUUAACUUUGAACAUGUUUAUAGGUUCAUAGGUUCAUUUUGGAGCAAACUAUCAACUCGCAUGCAAUGCCAUGGAAAGGUAAUACUUGAACAUGAUGCUCACAUGGGAAGAUGCAGUUGUCUUUAGAGUCAUCAUCUGUAAAAGACUGUGUACUG